GCUGUGACUCAAUAAUAGCUGAGUAUCUGCUUGGCAAGCAGAAGGUUCCAAGUUCAAUCCUCAGCAUCUCCA
RNAcentral lists this transfer RNA (72 nucleotides) under Sphaerodactylus townsendi. Its description in RNAcentral is "tRNA-Ala". It matches the Rfam family "tRNA". From Rfam's summary of the family: Transfer RNA (tRNA) molecules are approximately 80 nucleotides in length. Their secondary structure includes four short double-helical elements and three loops (D, anti-codon, and T loops). The record is from RNAcentral. Lineage: Eukaryota; Metazoa; Chordata; Lepidosauria; Squamata; Sphaerodactylidae.